RNAcentral lists this ribosomal RNA (253 nucleotides) under uncultured bacterium. RNAcentral describes it as "partial 16S ribosomal RNA". It matches the Rfam family "Bacterial small subunit ribosomal RNA", at positions 524 to 776 of the family's 1533-position model. The record is from RNAcentral.
UACGUAGGUGGCGAGCGUUGUCCGGAUUUACUGGGCGUAAGGAGCGCGCAGGCGGCUGGUCAAGUCCGAUGUGAAAGCUCCCGGCUUAACUGGGAAAUUGCAUCGGAAACUGAUCGGCUGGAAGGUGGGAGAGGGUAGCGGAAUUCCCGGUGUAGUGGUGAAAUGCGUAGAUAUCGGGAGGAACACCAGUGGCGAAAGCGGCUACCUGGCCCAUUCUUGACGCUGAGGCGCGAAAGCUAGGGGAGCAAACGGG